GACGAACGCUGGCGGCGUGCCUAAUACAUGCAAGUAGAACGCUGAAGGAGGAGCUUGCUUCUCUGGAUGAGUUGCGAACGGGUGAGUAACGCGUAGGUAACCUGCCUGGUAGCGGGGGAUAACUAUUGGAAACGAUAGCUAAUACCGCAUAAUAGUAGAUGUCGCAUGACAUUUGCUUAAAAGGUGCAAUUGCAUCACUACCAGAUGGACCUGCGUUGUAUUAGCUAGUUGGUGAGGUAACGGCUCACCAAGGCAACGAUACAUAGCCGACCUGAGAGGGUGAUCGGCCACACUGGGACUGAGACACGGCCCAGACUCCUACGGGAGGCAGCAGUAGGGAAUCUUCGGCAAUGGACGGAAGUCUGACCGAGCAACGCCGCGUGAGUGAAGAAGGUUUUCGGAUCGUAAAGCUCUGUUGUAAGAGAAGAACGAGUGUGAGAGUGGAAAGUUCACACUGUGACGGUAUCUUACCAGAAAGAGACGGCUAACUACGUG
This 495-nucleotide ribosomal RNA is filed under the name uncultured bacterium. Its description in RNAcentral is "partial 16S ribosomal RNA". It matches the Rfam family "Bacterial small subunit ribosomal RNA", at positions 28 to 507 of the family's 1533-position model. The record is from RNAcentral.